GCAUGUUGCUUAGUGGUUAGGGUAUUUGGCUCACAAUCAUAAGAUUGUGAGUUCGAUACUCAGCAGCAUGUU
This is a non-coding RNA of Octopus bimaculoides (California two-spot octopus), 72 nucleotides long. The record is from Rfam. NCBI's taxonomy places the organism in Eukaryota, Metazoa, Mollusca, Cephalopoda, Octopoda, Octopodidae.